UACGUAGGGUCCGAGCGUUGUCCGGAAUUACUGGGCGUAAAGAGCUGGUAGGUGGUUUGUCGCGUUGUUCGUGAAAACUCACAGCUCAACUGUGGGCGUGCGGGCGAUACGGGCAGACUAGAGUACUGCAGGGGAGACUGGAAUUCCUGGUGUAGCGGUGGAAUGCGCAGAUAUCAGGAGGAACACCGGUGGCGAAGGCGGGUCUCUGGGCAGUAACUGACGCUGAGGAGCGAAAGCGUGGGGAGCGAACAGG
Molecule: ribosomal RNA, 253 nt
Filed under: uncultured bacterium
Lineage: Bacteria
Description: partial 16S ribosomal RNA
Rfam family: Bacterial small subunit ribosomal RNA
Source: RNAcentral